This 950-nucleotide ribosomal RNA is filed under the name Bacillus sp. BVC83. RNAcentral's name for it is "bacterial SSU rRNA". It matches the Rfam family "Bacterial small subunit ribosomal RNA", at positions 41 to 981 of the family's 1533-position model. Lineage: Bacteria; Bacillati; Bacillota; Bacilli; Caryophanales; Bacillaceae. The record is from RNAcentral.
GAACGGGCAAUGGCUAUAAUGCAGUCGAGCGGAUCUCUUCGGAGGUCAGCGGCGGACGGGUGAGUAACACGUGGGCAACCUGCCUGUAAGACUGGGAUAACUCCGGGAAACCGGAGCUAAUACCGGAUACUAUGUCAAACCGCAUGGUUUGACAUUCAAAGACGGUUUCGGCUGUCACUUACAGAUGGGCCCGCGGCGCAUUAGCUAGUUGGUGAGGUAAUGGCUCACCAAGGCGACGAUGCGUAGCCGACCUGAGAGGGUGAUCGGCCACACUGGGACUGAGACACGGCCCAGACUCCUACGGGAGGCAGCAGUAGGGAAUCUUCCGCAAUGGACGAAAGUCUGACGGAGCAACGCCGCGUGAGUGAUGAAGGUUUUCGGAUCGUAAAACUCUGUUGUCAGGGAAGAACAAGUGCCGGAGUAACUGCCGGCACCUUGACGGUACCUGACCAGAAAGCCACGGCUAACUACGUGCCAGCAGCCGCGGUAAUACGUAGGUGGCAAGCGUUGUCCGGAAUUAUUGGGCGUAAAGCGCGCGCAGGCGGUUUCUUAAGUCUGAUGUGAAAGCCCCCGGCUCAACCGGGGAGGGUCAUUGGAAACUGGGAAACUUGAGUGCAGAAGAGGAGAGUGGAAUUCCACGUGUAGCGGUGAAAUGCGUAGAGAUGUGGAGGAACACCAGUGGCGAAGGCGACUCUCUGGUCUGUAACUGACGCUGAGGCGCGAAAGCGUGGGGAGCGAACAGGAUUAGAUACCCUGGUAGUCCACGCCGUAAACGAUGAGUGCUAAGUGUUAGAGGGUUUCCGCCCUUUAGUGCUGCAGCUAACGCAUUAAGCACUCCGCCUGGGGAGUACGGUCGCCAGACUGAAGACUCAAAGGAGUUGACGGGGGCCCGCACAAGCGGUGGAGCAUGUGGGUUUAUUCGAAGCAACGCUGAGAAACAUACCAGGCCU